RNAcentral lists this ribosomal RNA (327 nucleotides) under uncultured eukaryote. RNAcentral describes it as "partial 18S ribosomal RNA". It matches the Rfam family "Eukaryotic small subunit ribosomal RNA", at positions 1470 to 1796 of the family's 1831-position model. The record is from RNAcentral.
CCCUUAGAUGUUCUGGGCCGCACGCGCGCUACACUGACGAAUGCAACGAGCUUAUAACCUUGGCCGAAAGGUCUGGGUAAUCUCCAAAUUUCGUCGUGAUGGGGAUAGAUUAUUGCAAUUAUUAAUCUUCAACGAGGAAUGCCUAGUAAGCGCAAGUCAUCAGCUUGCGUUGAUUACGUCCCUGCCCUUUGUACACACCGCCCGUCGCUCCUACCGAUUGAAUGGUCCGGUGAAGCGCUCGGACCUCGGCCUCUUGACGGUUCGCUGUCGAUUGGCUGUGGGAAGUUCGUUAAACCUUAUCAUUUAGAGGAAGGAGAAGUCGUAACA